AUUGAACGCUGGCGGCAGGCCUAACACAUGCAAGUCGAGCGAGCGGCGGACGGGUGAGUAAUGUAUGGGGACUGCCCGAUAGAGGGGGAUAACUACUGGAAACGGUGGCCAAUACCGCAUACUAUCGGAUAACCCAUAUGGGAUUAGCUAGUUGGUGGGGUAAAGGCUCACCUAGGAGACGAUCUCUAGCUGGUCUGAGAGGAUGAUCCGCCACACUGGGACUGAGACACGGCCCAGACUCGUACGGAGGCAGAAGUGGGGAAUAUUGCACAAGGGGCGCAAGCCUGAUGCAGCCAUGCCGCGUGUAUGAGGAAGGCCUUAGGGUUGUAAAGUACUUUCAGCGGGGAGGCGUUACCCGAAGAAAAAGCACCGGCUAACUCCGUGCCAGCAGCCGCGGUAAUUC
RNAcentral lists this ribosomal RNA (403 nucleotides) under uncultured bacterium. RNAcentral describes it as "partial 16S ribosomal RNA". It matches the Rfam family "Bacterial small subunit ribosomal RNA", at positions 30 to 526 of the family's 1533-position model. The record is from RNAcentral.